Molecule: long non-coding RNA, 6427 nt
Organism: Anolis carolinensis (green anole)
Lineage: Eukaryota; Metazoa; Chordata; Lepidosauria; Squamata; Anolidae
Exons: 2
Source: RefSeq, a predicted model, not a curated record
CCUAGCAACAGACAUUUAUGAGCAGGCUGAGUGUUUGUGUGUGUAAAUAGUGUUAGAAAUGCAAAGCUUGUGUGUCUGGUGAUGAGGUGACAAGUUCUGUUUUAAUUAUGGUAAUUGGGGACACAAAGGCAGGAGGAAAGAUGUUGUCUAAAGCCAAGGUCAGAGAUGGACUGCCCAGGAAGACUGAAGGGUUCUGCAACAGGGUUUUGUGCACUCCAGUUCCUAAUACAGACAGACCCCAAGUUAUGUACAAGAUAGAUUUACUUUUUGGCAAUUUGGAACAGGUGUAUUUUAAGUGUUAUUCCAGCCACUUGUGGAAACAAGGAUUGGUGAUAAAGCUUCAAUGGAGAUCCCUUUUCCCCCAGGAUACUUCUUCCAGGAGUUAUUUUUCCUUCCUAGGUGUAGAUUUCUCUUAGUUCCCGUUGUCUCAACCUGGUUCUUAACAAUGAGUUGUUUGUAAGUCAGAUGUUUGUAACUCUAGGUUUGCCUGUACCUUAUAUACAUCAAUUUAUCCACUGAUGCAGACUGGCCUGUUUGCCCAAUGUAGAAUGUUGAAGGGCAUUGUUAAUAGAGGAUGGCAUUUAUCACUUUAGUUUAGAUUAGUGAUUCUCAACCUGUGGUUCCCAGAUGUUUUGGACCAGAUGUUUUGGUAAAUUGGCUGGGAUUUCUGGGAAUUGUAGGUCAAAACACCUGGGGACCCACAGGUUGGCCCUAAACCAUUUAAGACUUUGUGAGUAAAAACCAGUGCUUUGAACUGAAUUCAGAAUCAAACUGUAAUCCAUUGCAGUUGGUUCAAUAUCAGCAACACAUGGUCUCUGAAGCUCAUGUCCAGCAAUUUGCACUAAGCGUAGCUUCUGAACACUUUUCAAGAGGAGUCCUAUGACAUUAUUGUUCUUGAGUGUCUUCAUGUCCUUUCUGACUCAUGGCAAUACUAAGACCAAUCUCUCAUUGGUAAAAUUUGUUCAGUGGGGGUUGUCUUUGCCUUCCUUUAAGGCUGAGAGAGUGUAAUUUACCUAACGUCAUCUAGUUGUUUUUCAUAUCCAAUUGGGGAUUCAAAGCAUGUUCUCCAGAGCCAUAGUCCAGUACUCAAACUGCUGUACCAUGCUGCAUUAUGUACAUUACAGAAAUCUAAUUGAGAGUUAUUAAUAGUCUGGCCCUAUUUGGGGAAAAACUGAAGCUUUUUCCUUGGCAGGGGAAUACUGAAAUUCAUUGUGAAAGAGAAAUACGCAGAGUAAAGUAAGUGCUCAUUUUAUUGUACUGUAAUUUCUUCCCCUGGUUUUACAUCACGUACAUCUACUUUGUGGGAAUCUGGGGGGAGUUGUCUGUGGGUACUUGCAUGGAACAUACUUGAUUUUACACAGAUACUGCUUUUGAGAUACAGCCUUUCAAGACGCAAUAGCAGGCUCAGUAAAUCCCACCACAAUCCAUGUGUUGAAAGGCAUGCUCACCCUGGUGUAUGAGUAAGUGAAUUCAACUGCGUUUGUGGACAUUUUUCAAAGAUCCAUACUUUUCAGUCAUGCCCAUUCACUUGCAUAUAACUCCAUAAAGAAAAAAACAAAAGAAUCUGGUGGUUUUGCUCUCAAUGAUGGGAAAGCAAAAACCACGUGCAUGCUCUUGUUAGUAAUCACAGAGACCACAAAUUGGAUAAUUUCACUUAAUGGGAUGAUGAUGAUGAUAAGGAAAGAAUUGGUGGUGGUGAUUGAUUACCAGGAGGAGAAGAAUAGCUUGGAAGAGUUACUUUUGGACUACAACUCCCAGGAUCUCCCAGCCAGAAGCUAUAGUCCAUUUUCCCCCCAAGAUGUAGUGGAGGAGCACAGCUUGACUCGGUAACUUUUACAGAAUUCAUAGAGGACUAUCUCCCACUCCAGUCUUUUCCCAUAAGAAAGUUGUUUUCUGGUCCAGUUCAAUUCCUUGUAAUUUCCUUCAAAUGUUUACAAACUGCAUCUGAAUCCAAACAUCAAUACAGUCAUCUAAAGAAUAAUUAUGUAGGGAUGGACAGCUCCCAAAGUUUCAAUAUCACUUGCAUUUGGAUUUUCAAAACCCUCCCAAUUCUAAUAUGAACGAUGUUUGUACCUUUGGAUUAAUGAUGUUCUGGAACACAAUUCUCAUCCAAAUGCACUAGACAAAUUCAUUAUGUAGAACUAUUCCCAAUAUAAAGAGGAUCAUGUUGUACCCAGCUGCCAUAUAGUUGAAGAGGCUGCCACUAAAAUUUUGGAUAGCAUUCUGUUCAGCACCUACAGUGUAGGAAGCUGGACUUACAGCAUCAUCAAUUUUGGAAUGUUUACGAUCAUUAUACCAUUACAACAACCAAAGAAUUCAAAAUACAAAACCUAUUUCAGAAGCUAGCCAGCCCUGCCAACACAGGCAUUUCUGAGGUGCUGAGUGGUGAGUGAAAAAGCAGCCAGUCUUCUCCCAGAAGCAAAACAGUUUGAUUCUCAGUAACAGAUCUGAUCUGUAAACUGCUGUUCUGCCAGGAGUGGACCAGAUGCCUCUUCACUCAUAGUCACACUCAUCAGAGCUUUGGGAAUCCCUACGUAAAUGAGACUGCCUGGCUUCUAAAAUAGGUUUUGAGGCGUCACAUCAGGAGACAUAGCUAGGAGGGUGUGGACACAAAAUCUUGGUUAAGGUUACAGUUUUGACCCAGUAUAAUAAAUAUGGUGAAAAGCCGGGCUGCAGUUAAGCAUCAAGAAAACCAAGAAAACCAGACUGAUUGAUAACUGGCAAAUAGAGGGAGAAAACAUGAAGGCAGUGACAGACUUUAUAUUUCUAGGCGUGAAGAUCACUGCAGAUGAAGACUGCAUCCAGGAAAUCAGAAGACAUUUACUUCUUGAGAGGAGAGCAAUGACCAACCUCGAUAAAAUAGUGAAAAGCCUAGACAUCACACUGGCAAUGAAGGUCCGCAUAGUUAAAGCAAUGGUAUUCCUCAUAGUAACCUAUGGAUGUGAGAGCUGGAACAUAAGGAAGGCUGAACGAAGGAAGAUAGAUGCCUUUGAACUCUGGUGCUGGAGGAAAAUCCUGAGAGUGCCUUGGACCGCAAGAAGAUCCAACUAGUCCAUCCUCCAGGAAAUAAUGCCCGACUGCUCACUGGAGGAAAGGAUAUUGGAGGAAAAGUUAAAGUAUUUUGACCACAUCAUGAGAAGACAGGAAAGCUUGGAAAAGAUCAUGAUGCUGGGGAAAAUGGAAGGAAAAAGGAAGCGAGGCUGAACAAGGGUGAGAUGGAUGGAUGGUAUCCUUGAAGUGACUGGCUUGACCUGGAGGCGGCAACGGCCGACAGGAAGCUCUAGUGUGGACUGGUCCAUGAGGUCACAAAGAGUCGAAAACAACUGCAUGAAUGAAAAAGAAGACAUAAAGAGAAAAUGGGCAAACUCCAGCAGACCAGAGGAUAAUCCAACAAACCUAUAAAUUACAUUUUCUCCCACAAAUGCCCCCCCCCUGCCAAACUCUCUGGUUCUUUUGAUUCCUAAAAUAAGGGCUGAGCUCCCCACGGUUUGUGAGAUCUAAAUCUACAUUGGUAUAAUUAUACAGUAGUUGCACAGCACCACACUUCUGUUGAAUAGUGGCAUUUUGCAACCAAUUGUGUAUUUGUCAAUGUACUUACUCAUCAUUAUACAAUAAGGAAUGCACAGAGGUUGUUUCUCCAGUCCCAGUGAAUUAACAAGUGCAUUGAAGCCAGCGAUGAACAGAAAGUACAAUGACAUGAUUAAAAAUAUAGAAGUGUAUAACUCAGGACCGGCCCAAGGGAAUCUUCAGGGGUAUGCAAAAAAAAUUUUGCGCCCCCCCCACCGCGCCGCGGGAGGUGUGGUCAGAUCUGGCCCCGCCUCCCACACCACGCGCGGGUGCCCUGACCCCGCCCCCACGGCAUGGGGCAGCGUAGGAGGCGUGGCCAGCCCCGCUUCCCGCGGCGGGCACCCUGUCCCUACGGCAGGCGCCGCAGGAGGCGGGGCCAGACUUGACCACGCCUCCCGCAUCGCGCGGCCCUGCCUCCCACAGCGCGGGAGGCAGGGCCAGGACGCCGGAGGCGGGGCCAAGUGUGGCCACGCCUCCCAGGGGCUCAAUAGCACCCCUGGGAACAUGGCGCCCAACGCGGGGGCGUGGCUAGCGUCCCGUGUUGGGCCGGGCCUGGUAUAACUGGAAGAGGCUACAAGAGCCAUCUAGUUCAACUGCUACUAUGCAGGAAUACACAAUGAAAGCACUCCCAACAGUUGUUCAUGAAAAAAAAAACUUCAAAGGAAGAUACUCCAGCACACUCCAAGAAAGCAUAGUCCUCUGUUUAACAGAUCUUGCUUCCAGGAAGUUCUUCCUAAUGUUAGGUGAAUUCUCUUUUUCUUGUAAUUUGAUUCUCUUGUUCUAUGUCCUAGUCUCUGGAGCAGCAGAAAAACCUGCUUGAUCUUCAAUAUGACAUCACUUCAAUUUUUUAAAAAAUGCUGUCAUGUCCCUUCUUAAUUUUCAUCUCCAGGAUAAACUUACCCAGCUCCCUAAACUGUUCCUCAUAGGACUUGGCUUCCAGAUCUUUGAACAUUUUGGUUGUCUUUCUCUGGACAUGUUCCAGUUUGCCAAUGUCCUUCUUGACUUGUGGUGCCCAGGCCUGGACACGGUAUUCUAGGUGAUUACCAAUCUAAUUCUCUCUCAUCCUCUCUCCCUUUCUUUUUCCACUUCUCAAGUGGGAAGCAUCUUUCACUAGUUCUCCAUAUGGCCAGCAAAAUCUUCCACACCCUGAUCUAAAUUUCUGAAAGCCAUGGAUUCCUGAGAAAUCAAAUGAGGCUGAAUGGUGAGUCAGCUGACAGCUGUUGUUCGUUCCAAGCCAGGACUGCUUCCAAGAUCCAGCUGUGGUUAGCUCACCUCUGAGUUCAUAAAUGGGGAAUCUGUGUGUGGGGGGCCAAGCGAUUGGUAUAUGAUUUAUAAAGGAGCAGGCAGAGUGGAAAGAAACCACUUCAGACACGACUAUCAGGAGGACAGCUAAGUGAAAUCAGAUGGGUGCUGCUGACUCAAGUUUGGUCUGUUGAGAAAGUGGGGGAAUCCCUCCAAAUGUAAACCUUCUUAGGAAGAUUUAGAAGCUCACCUCCCCCUAUUUCCUGCCUAUCACAUUGGAUCAUCAUGACAGAGUGGUGUUUUGCCUCUGUUUUUCUGACCAGAAGCAUAAUCAAGCAGUUUCCAUCCAUGCCUUUUCCCCCUGAAUACUUGCCAUAAACUAGUAUCUGAUGGCUCACAGAGUGGCACCAAUUUGAGUAGCACUGCCUUAUAUAACCAGGGUUUGAUGCAACAGAACUAGGAAUUGGCUCCAGAAUUAAGACAUCUAGAAGCUGUAAUCCCAAGAAGCUUUGAGGGACAUAUUGAGAAAGAACAAAGAUUUUUCAUGACAAAGAUCCUAUAACAAUGACUUCUUUUUGUUAUUUUUCUUAUUGUAUAAUAUUUUAAAAUCCAGUGGCACAUGUGGGAUGUCGAGUUGGGAUAGGUGCAUGAUUUAUAGUUUUUCCAAUCACUUCCUCCCUGCAUAUGCUGCACACUAGAUUGGAUGCCUCAGGGCAAGCCAAACUAAACCCAUACAUAGCAGAGUGCUUAUCAGUUGUCAGCAGAGUGUAACUGCACCGUCUGACCUUGUGCUGAUCACUGUUUAGAAAAACUCUGAUUCAAUUUUCAUCCAAACUCACAGGAGGCAUUUAAUCUUGACAUACAGAGAUCAAGAUCCCUGACGAUCACCUAUCAGUCAAUACAGCGAUAUACAAUAUGUAGGCAAACAGAUUCAUGAGCAAUAGAUAUCAGCAACAGAUGUACAGCAAGAGAUUUCUCAUGGCAAGAGAGAGAACAUGCAUCUUCUGCCAUGCUUGCUUGUCAUCAGCCAGGGACAAAAAUGUAUGAUGCAACCCUUGUCAUGAAUGUCACAUGGUUAUGACUCAGCCUGUCCCCUAAUUAAUACAUCACCACCCACUUAACCAUUCUGCAGGUAUGUGACCACAUAUCCAUUAGAACUGUAUUUUCCACAGUUUUACACAAUAAGACUACAUUCUUGUCUAACAAUACAUUAUCUAUCCAACAUAGGAAUCAUGCAUCCUCCCAGAUGUUGGCUGCAACUCCCAACAGACCUAGCCAGCACAUAUAAUGCUGAAGAAUAUUUGAAUUUGAAGUCUAACAAUUUCUGGAGGCCCACCAAUGAUUCCCAAUGCUGGCUAAUGUUAGGACCAUCCAGAAUCCAGGUCAUGAGAUAAUGGGACUUUAGUGGAAGAGGAGAAAGGAAACUGCCUUCCUGCAGACUCCAGUCCAUGUUGGGACCAGAAGAAGUUGAGAACUCUUGCUUCAUCCAAGCUUCUUGAAAUUUUUGCUGGUGCUUUGACAACCCUUGAUUUACUCAUCUUCUCCUGAUCGAGUUACUCUGUCUUAACCAGUUCUUCAUGCCCAAAUAAAUUACUGUUAAGGCUCUGCCUUCAUUCUU